CGCGUGGGAACGUACCCUUUGGUACGGAAUAGCCCCGGGAAACUGGGAGUAAUACCGUAUGGUGUCUUCGGACUAAAGAUUUAUCGCCAAAGGAUCGGCCCGCGUUGGAUUAGGUAGUUGGUGGGGUAAUGGCCUACCAAGCCGACGAUCCAUAGCUGGUUUGAGAGGAUGAUCAGCCACACUGGGACUGAGACACGGCCCAGACUCCUACGGGAGGCAGCAGUGGGGAAUAUUGCACAAUGGGCGAAAGCCUGAUGCAGCGACGCCGCGUGAGGGAUGACGGCCUUCGGGUUGUAAACCUCUUUCAGCAGGGACGAAGCGCAAGUGACGGUACCUGCAGAAGAAGCACCGGCUAACUACGUG
This 363-nucleotide ribosomal RNA is filed under the name uncultured Alphaproteobacteria bacterium. Its description in RNAcentral is "bacterial SSU rRNA". It matches the Rfam family "Bacterial small subunit ribosomal RNA", at positions 114 to 507 of the family's 1533-position model. The record is from RNAcentral. Lineage: Bacteria; Pseudomonadati; Pseudomonadota; Alphaproteobacteria.